GACGAACGCUGGCGGCGUGCCUAAUACAUGCAAGUCGAACGCUGAAGGAGGAGCUUGCUCUUCUGGAUGAGUUGCGAACGGGUGAGUAACGCGUAGGUAACCUGCCUGGUAGCGGGGGAUAACUAUUGGAAACGAUAGCUAAUACCGCAUAACAGUAGAUGUUGCAUGACAUUUGCUUAAAAGGUGCAAUUGCACCACUACCAGAUGGACCUGCGUUGUAUUAGCUAGUUGGUGGGGUAACGGCUCACCAAGGCGACGAUACAUAGCCGACCUGAGAGGGGGAUCGGCUACACUGGGACUGAGACACGGCCCAGACGCCUACGGGAGGCAGCAGUAGGGAAUCUUCGGCAAUGGACGGAAGGCUGACCGAGAAACGCCGCGGGAGUGAAGAAGGGUUUCGGAUCGUAAAGCUCUGUUGUAAGAGAAGAACGAGUGUGAGAGUGGAAAGUUCACACUGUGACGGUAGCUUACCAGAAAGGGACGGCUAACUACGUG
RNAcentral lists this ribosomal RNA (495 nucleotides) under uncultured bacterium. RNAcentral's name for it is "partial 16S ribosomal RNA". It matches the Rfam family "Bacterial small subunit ribosomal RNA", at positions 28 to 507 of the family's 1533-position model. The record is from RNAcentral.